Molecule: ribosomal RNA, 516 nt
Filed under: uncultured bacterium
Lineage: Bacteria
Description: bacterial SSU rRNA
Rfam family: Bacterial small subunit ribosomal RNA
Source: RNAcentral
GAGUUUGAUCCUGGCUCAGGAUGAACGCCGGCGGUGUGCCUAAUACAUGCAAGUCGAACGCGUUGGCCCAACUGAUUGAACGUUCUUGCACGGACUUGACGUUGGUUUACCAGCGAGUGGCGGACGGGUGAGUAACACGUAGGUAACCUGCCCCAAAGCGGGGGAUAACAUUUGGAAACAGAUGCUAAUACCGCAUAACAAUUUGAAUCGCAUGAUUCAAAUUUAAAAGAUGGCUUCGGCUAUCACUUUGGGAUGGACCUGCGGCGCAUUAGCUUGUUGGUAGGGUAACGGCCUACCAAGGCUGUGAUGCGUAGCCGAGUUGAGAGACUGAUCGGCCACAAUGGAACUGAGACACGGUCCAUACUCCUACGGGAGGCAGCAGUAGGGAAUCUUCCACAAUGGGCGCAAGCCUGAUGGAGCAACACCGCGUGAGUGAAGAAGGGUUUCGGCUCGUAAAGCUCUGUUGUUAGAGAAGAACGUGCGUGAGAGCAACUGUUCACGCAGUGACGGUAUCUA